Molecule: long non-coding RNA, 752 nt
Filed under: Anser cygnoides (Swan goose)
Lineage: Eukaryota; Metazoa; Chordata; Aves; Anseriformes; Anatidae
Description: lncRNA (ENSACDG00005004153.1)
Source: RNAcentral
UCUAAUCAAAACAUUUUAUGGUUGAAUUAUGCCUGCUUCCACUGUUAUAAAAAUUCUACUAAUGAAAUUGCAUUUUAAUAUUUUAGACUAGAUGCCUAAAGUUUGCUUCUUCAUGCAUUUCCUUCACCUGGACAACCUGCCAUCUCCAGGGAGCAGGACCUAGGAUUAUGGAAGUCCACCUUUCACUUACUGAAUUUGGGCAUCCUCUUGUGAAGUCUCUACAGAAAAAUGGAACUGUAUGCAAGAACUGACAGCUAUUCAGAAGGGACAACAAACUAACAUGAAUUCAUCUUGAAAUCCAGAUUUCUUGAAUUCAAGUUCCUUGACUCACAGUUAGCUAUUAAAGGCUUCAGGAGGGUAUCAGGAUGAAUCGUUUGUAGUAAGGUGUGGAAGAAUGACAUUCUGAGGUAAAUGUGAUGUAACUCCCAAAGAAAGGUAGGUGAGGAUCUAUAGGCUGUUAUACACAACAGUUAUAACUUCCUUAUCACCACUCUCUAAAUAUGAAGAAGAAAAUAAUGCUGCAGCCUAAAAUUUGAGCUGAGUAAAAUGAGCACUGGUUAAUUUUUCCUUGUUGGGUAAGGAGUUUCACCACUCCACUCCCUGCACUGCACACUGGGGCAUAAAUACAGGUAUGGAAAUUUUAUAGUUAGUCCUGUGAGAAACUCACACAUAGAAACGUGGAAGGGGAGAGACUGUAGAUAAUAAUUUAAAAUAUUUCCUCUGUGACUUGAAGGUACAGGAAAAACAUCACA